This 454-nucleotide ribosomal RNA is filed under the name uncultured Rikenellaceae bacterium. Its description in RNAcentral is "partial 16S ribosomal RNA". It matches the Rfam family "Bacterial small subunit ribosomal RNA", at positions 341 to 792 of the family's 1533-position model. The record is from RNAcentral. Lineage: Bacteria; Pseudomonadati; Bacteroidota; Bacteroidia; Bacteroidales; Rikenellaceae.
ACGGAAGGCAGCAGUGAGGAAUAUUGGUCAAUGGACGGAAGUCUGAACCAGCCAUGCCGCGUGCAGGAAGACGGCCCUAUGGGUUGUAAACUGCUUUUGUGGUGGAGCAAUAAGGCGUACGUGUACGCCGAUGAGAGUACAUCACGAAUAAGCAUCGGCUAACUCCGUGCCAGCAGCCGCGGUAAUACGGAGGAUGCAAGCGUUAUCCGGAUUUAUUGGGUUUAAAGGGUGCGUAGGCUGUGCAGCAAGUCAGAGGUGAAAGCCCGGUGCUUAACACCGGAACUGCCUUUGAUACUGUUGUGCUGGGAUACGGAUGCCGUGGGAGGAAUGAGUAGUGUAGCGGUGAAAUGCAUAGAUAUUACUCAGAACACCGAUUGCGAAGGCAUCUCACGAAUCCGUCAUUGACGCUGAGGCACGAAAGUGUGGGGAUCAAACAGGAUUAGAUACCCUGGUA